CCUACGGGAGGCAGCAGUGGGGAAUAUUGCACAAUGGGCGCAAGCCUGAUGCAGCCAUGCCGCGUGUGUGGAGAAGGCCUUCGGGUUGUAAAGCACUUUCAGCGGGGAGGAAGGCGGUGAGGUUAAUAACCUCAUCGAUUGACGUUACCCGCAGAAGAAGCACCGGCUAACUCCGUGCCAGCAGCCGCGGUAAUACGGAGGGUGCAAGCGUUAAUCGGAAUUACUGGGCGUAAAGCGCACGCAGGCGGUCUGUCAAGUCGGAUGUGAAAUCCCCGGGCUCAACCUGGGAACUGCAUUCGAAACUGGCAGGCUAGAGUCUUGUAGAGGGGGGUAGAAUUCCAGGUGUAGCGGUGAAAUGCGUAGAGAUCUGGAGGAAUACCGGUGGCGAAGGCGGCCCCCUGGACAAAGACUGACGCUCAGGUGCGAAAGCGUGGGGAGCAAACAGGAUUAGAUACCCCAGUAGUC
Molecule: ribosomal RNA, 465 nt
Filed under: uncultured Klebsiella sp.
Lineage: Bacteria; Pseudomonadati; Pseudomonadota; Gammaproteobacteria; Enterobacterales; Enterobacteriaceae
Description: bacterial SSU rRNA
Rfam family: Bacterial small subunit ribosomal RNA
Source: RNAcentral